AACUCACACAAAUCUAGCAUAACUCACUCAUAUUUUACAUCUCUACUCAUAUUAGUGGCUCCUCAUACCCCUUAUAGUGUCAAAAAAUUUCAUGUAUAGGUUAACCCUUGUAUACCAUGUGUUUUACCCAUAACAUGCCAUUCACUCUACCUGCUUUACCAAAGCCUUACAGUCUGAGUCACCUUGCUUGCUCAACAAAUCCUUAUGGUCAAGGUCAUCCUGCUUGCUCAAUAAAGCCUUAUGGUCUAGACUAGAUUUCUUGGCUUUCCAAGCCUUACGAGUAAAGACUCUGCCUGCUCAACUAAGCCUUACAGACAGAGCGCUAUACUCAGCUUUAGCCAAAAUGGAAAAAAAAUAAGAACCAAUCCGGAUUUACAGUUACGGUAAAACAUAACUUCCAACCCAAACACUGCAUAUAUUAAACAGACCAACCAAUCUGCCAACAACCCAUUCAAGCAUCCUAAACACUUGGCUAAUUAUUAAUCUGCCCAAAAGAAGCGUACCAAGGACAUGACAGACCAGAACCUCUCUACAGAAACCGUGUGUUGCUGUUUGGAUCACUGCACAACUCAGCAGCCCCCCAUACAUCUUGUAAUUCCCCCCAUAAAGCUUAUGAAAUUGAUUUUAGGUACAAGCCUUCGAGUCCUCUACUGCUCUGUUGCAUGUGAUUUGUUAUAGAUAAUUGUUAUGCUAUAAUUAUGCCAAAAACCGUGACUCUAAAGCUACAACUCUAUCUGCCUACUUGACUCUUAAUACUGAUGCAGAAGUUCCACAGUGCCUGGCUAUACAAUCCAGAAUUAUCUCUUAAUCCAAGCAUAGCAACGUGUACUUCUCUGUUAGCCAUCUGAAUUCCACGGUGGUGUUCACCGCGUAAAGUCG
RNAcentral lists this small RNA (879 nucleotides) under Vigna angularis var. angularis. RNAcentral describes it as "Non-protein coding transcript". The record is from RNAcentral. Lineage: Eukaryota; Viridiplantae; Streptophyta; Magnoliopsida; Fabales; Fabaceae.